AAAUCCUCUUGCGGGGGGAUUCAGUCGGAAGGGUCGGAGGUGCCAACGGUCGAUCGAAACGGACCUCCUCCAAGGCCGGGCUGCAGGCACGGUCUCCGACUCGCCCGACGCAUUUCCUCUCGCACUACGGACGCCGCAACCGGUCGGGUAGCUGCGCGAGUCGGCCACGAGGGCGGGCGCCGGCAGGUGGCCGGGGGUUUCGCUUCGGCGUCUCUCCCGGUUGUUAGCCAGCUCGCCCGUGGCGCGACACCCGACCGAGGUCGACCCGUUCCCGCUCGUGGGAACGCGCCGUCCCCUUUCCAGCGGGCGCUCCGGCAGGCGAACUGCGGUCGUCGCCGAGUCACUCUUCGUAGUGGCCGGCGCGUCGCGGACGCCGUUGGCCGGCAGUGAGUCCCGCGGGGGCGGUCCCGGGGUUGGCGGCGAGUAGGUCGGUCACCCACCCGACCCGUCUUGAAACACGGACCAAGGAGUCUAACAUGUGCGCGAGUCACGGGGUCUUGACCAGGCCCAGAGGCGCAAUGAAAGUGAAGGCCGCUCUCGCGGUGGCUGUGUUGGGACUCCGCUCGAAUUUUCGGGCGGAAGCACCAACGGCCCGUCCCGUCCGAUUUAUCGGUGGGGCGGAGUCGGAGCGUACACGUUGGGACCCGAAAGAUGGUGAACUAUGCCUGGGCAGGACGAAGCCAGAGGAAACUCUGGUGGAGGUCCGUAGCGGUUCUGACGUGCAAAUCGAUCGUCAGACCCGGGUAUAGGGGCGAAAGACUAAUCGAACCAUCUAGUAGCUGGUUCCCUCCGAAGUUUCCCUCAGGAUAGCUGGCGCUCGGAGGAAUCAGUCUCAUCCGGUAAAGCGAAUGAUUAGAGGCCUUGGGGCCNAAACGACCUCAACCUAUUCUCAAACUUUAAAUGGGUGAGAAGUCCGUCUUGCAUGACUGAAGACCGGACAUUUCAGGAUGUGAGCGCCCAGUGGGCCACUUUUGGUAAGCAGAACUGGCGCUGUGGGAUGAACCAAACGCCGGGUUACGGCGCCCGAUGCGAGACGCUCAUGAGACCCCAUGAAAGGUGUUGGUUGCUAUAGACAGCAGGACGGUGGCCAUGGAAGUCGGAAUCCGCUAAGGAGUGUGUAACAACUCACCUGCCGAAGCAACUAGCCCUGAAAAUGGAUGGCGCUCCAGCGUCGAGCCCAUACCCGGCCGCUGCGGCAGAGCUUUGUUGAGGCUUACGCCGCAGCGAGUAGGAGGGUCGCAGCGGCGAGCGUCGAAGGUGCCGGGCGCGAGCCCGCCUGGAGCCGCCGCUGGUGCAGAUCUUGGUGGUAGUAGCAAAUACUCAAGUGAGAACCUUGAGGACUGAGGUGGAGAAAGGUUCCAUGUGAAACAGCAGUUUGAACAUGGGUCAGUCGGUCCUAAGGGAUAGGAGAAAUCCGUUCCGAAGCGGGACGUUGUUACCUAGGCUCGU
RNAcentral lists this ribosomal RNA (1449 nucleotides) under Loxosceles sp. RPD-2010. RNAcentral's name for it is "eukaryotic LSU rRNA". The stretch from base 462 to 1449 matches the Rfam family "Eukaryotic large subunit ribosomal RNA", at positions 665 to 1589 of the family's 3401-position model. Lineage: Eukaryota; Metazoa; Arthropoda; Arachnida; Araneae; Sicariidae. The record is from RNAcentral.